Molecule: ribosomal RNA, 497 nt
Filed under: uncultured bacterium
Lineage: Bacteria
Description: partial 16S ribosomal RNA
Rfam family: Bacterial small subunit ribosomal RNA
Source: RNAcentral
GACGAACGCUGGCGGCGUGCCUAAUACAUGCAAGUUGAGCGCUGAAGGUUGGUACUUGUACCAACUGGAUGAGCAGCGAACGGGUGAGUAACGCGUGGGGGAUCUGCCUUUGAGCGGGGGACAACAUUUGGAAACGAAUGCUAAUACCGCAUAAAAACUUUAAACACAAGUUUUAAGUUUGAAAGAUGCAAUUGCAUCACUCAAAGAUGAUCCCGCGUUGUAUUAGCUAGUUGGUGAGGUAAAGGCUCACCAAGGCGAUGAUACAUAGCCGACCUGAGAGGGUGAUCGGCCACAUUGGGACUGAGACACGGCCCAAACUCCUACGGGAGGCAGCAGUAGGGAAUCGUCGGCAAUGGACGAAAGUCUGACCGAGCAACGCCGCGUGAGUGAAGAAGGUUUUCGGAUCGUAAAACUCUGUUGGUAGAGAAGAACGUUGGUGAGAGUGGAAAGCUCAUCAAGUGACGGUAACUACCCAGAAAGGGACGGCUAACUACGUG